Molecule: transfer RNA, 86 nt
Filed under: Fidelibacterota bacterium
Lineage: Bacteria; Pseudomonadati; Fidelibacterota
Description: tRNA-Tyr
Rfam family: tRNA
About the family: Transfer RNA (tRNA) molecules are approximately 80 nucleotides in length. Their secondary structure includes four short double-helical elements and three loops (D, anti-codon, and T loops). Further hydrogen bonds mediate the characteristic L-shaped molecular structure. tRNAs have two regions of fundamental functional importance: the anti-codon, which is responsible for specific mRNA codon recognition, and the 3' end, to which the tRNAs corresponding amino acid is attached (by aminoacyl-tRNA synthetases). tRNAs cope with the degeneracy of the genetic code in two manners: having more than one tRNA (with a specific anti-codon) for a particular amino acid; and 'wobble' base-pairing, i.e. permitting non-standard base-pairing at the 3rd anti-codon position.
Source: RNAcentral
GGGGAGAUGGCAGAGCGGUCAAAUGCACCAGACUGUAAAUCUGGCGGCGGAAGCCUUCGGUGGUUCGAAUCCAUCUCUCCCCACAA